CAGUAGCCGCGGGAAUGCGAAGGGGGCUAGCGUUGCUCGGAAUGACUGGGCGUAAAGGGUGCGUAGGCGGUUCGUACAGUUGGAUGUGAAAUUCCUGGGCUUAACCUGGGGGCUGCAUUCAAUACGUGCGGGCUUGAGUGUGGAAGAGGGUUGUGGAAUUCCCAGUGUAGAGGUGAAAUUCGUAGAUAUUGGGAAGAACACCGGUGGCGAAGGCGGCAACCUGGUCCAUAACUGACGCUGAGGCGCGAAAGCGUGGGGAGCAAACAGGAUUAGAUACCCCAGUAGUCCCUGUCUCUUAUAC
Molecule: ribosomal RNA, 301 nt
Filed under: uncultured bacterium
Lineage: Bacteria
Description: partial 16S ribosomal RNA
Rfam family: Bacterial small subunit ribosomal RNA
Source: RNAcentral